GGACCCGUAGCUCAGCUAGGUGGAGCAGCAGACUCAUAAUCUGUUGGUCACUGGUUCGAAUCCGGUCGGGUCCACCA
RNAcentral lists this transfer RNA (77 nucleotides) under Candidatus Bathycorpusculum grumuli. RNAcentral describes it as "tRNA-Ile". It matches the Rfam family "tRNA". From Rfam's summary of the family: Transfer RNA (tRNA) molecules are approximately 80 nucleotides in length. Their secondary structure includes four short double-helical elements and three loops (D, anti-codon, and T loops). The record is from RNAcentral. Lineage: Archaea; Thermoproteati; Candidatus Bathyarchaeota; Bathyarchaeia (SeqCode); Bathyarchaeales (SeqCode); Candidatus Bathycorpusculaceae.